AUACGUAGGGGGCGAGCGUUGUCCGGAAUGAUUGGGCGUAAAGGGCGCGUAGGCGGCCCGGUAAGUCUGGAGUGAAAGUCCUGUUUUUAAGAUGGGAAUUGCUUUGGAUACUGUCGGGCUUGAGUGCAGGAGCGGUAAGUGGAAUUCCCAGUGUAGCGGUGAAAUGCGUAGAGAUUGGGAGGAACACCAGUGGCGAAGGCGAAUUACUGGACGGUAACGGACGCUGUGGCGCGAGAGUGUGGGGAGCAAACAGGAUUAGAUACCCUGAUAGUCCACACUGUAAACGAGGAAUGCUAGGUGUAGUGGGUAUCGACCCCUUCUGUGCCUCAGGCAACACAAUAAGCAUUCCGCCUGGGGAGUACGGCCGCAAGGUUGAAACUCAAAUGAAUGGACGGUG
RNAcentral lists this ribosomal RNA (397 nucleotides) under uncultured bacterium. Its description in RNAcentral is "partial 16S ribosomal RNA". It matches the Rfam family "Bacterial small subunit ribosomal RNA", at positions 523 to 918 of the family's 1533-position model. The record is from RNAcentral.